CUUGGUCAUUUAGAGGAAGUAAAAGUCGUAACAAGGUUUCCGUAGGUGAACCUGCGGAAGGAUCAUUAAUGAAUUUAGGAGGUUUGCUGUGCCGUCUUCACGGAAUUGUGCACGCUUACCUCUAUAAUCCUUAUCAACACCUGUGCACCUUUCUAGGGAGAACGAUAGGUUUCACGACCUAUCAUGACCUCUAUAUACACACUCUUUAUGUCAAUGAAUGUUACUUGGCCGAAAGGCUAGAAUUAUAAACAACUUUUAACAACGGAUCUCUUGGCUCUCGCAUCGAUGAAGAACGCAGCGAAAUGCGAUAAGUAAUGUGAAUUGCAGAAUUCAGUGAAUCAUCGAAUCUUUGAACGCACCUUGCGCUCCCUGGUAUUCCGGGGAGCACGCCUGUUCGAGUGUUAUGAAACUAUCAAGAGAAAUUGGCUUUAUUGUUGAUUUUGAUUGGAUUUGAACUUUGACGUUGAUCUAGGUAGAGGGUUACUCCUCUGCUCCGUAAUACGACUAGUUUUAAAAGUAUAAGCAGGCUCUGGUUUUUUAAUUACCAUGGUUCUACUCAGCGUGAUAAUUAUCUAUCGUUGAGGACACUUUUAUUAGUGGCCAUGGUCCCAAGAGUUGCUCUCUAAUCUCUGUGAUCAGUUGCAAAACUGAUUUCAUUCAUAUCUGACCUCGAAUCAGGUGGGACUACUCGCUGAACUUAAGCAUAUCAAUAAGCGGAGGA
RNAcentral lists this ribosomal RNA (721 nucleotides) under uncultured Agaricomycetes. Its description in RNAcentral is "eukaryotic LSU rRNA". The stretch from base 251 to 404 matches the Rfam family "5.8S ribosomal RNA". Lineage: Eukaryota; Fungi; Basidiomycota; Agaricomycetes. The record is from RNAcentral.